Molecule: long non-coding RNA, 1227 nt
Organism: Sapajus apella (tufted capuchin)
Lineage: Eukaryota; Metazoa; Chordata; Mammalia; Primates; Cebidae
Exons: 3
Source: RefSeq, a predicted model, not a curated record
CUCUGUGUCAAAAGAAAAAAAAAAAUCCCCCAAAAUGAAAAAAAAAAAAACAAAAGGCGAUGUAUACAAUUUGCCAAUUCCUGUGGUUAGGACCUCAACAUGUGAAUUCUGGAAAGGGAUACAUUGCAGCCCAUAACUUGCAGGCAGUGACAACCACCUUGUGGCUGCCACCUGGCCUACCACAGUUGCAAAAUGCACCUCAAUUUCAGAAAUAUUAAAUGGGGGAAAAUGUGCCUCUUACUAUUGACAAGCUGUGCUCACAUGUCAGCUGAAAUUAUUUGGUUGAAGAUUGGGGAUUACAACGUGGUUAUAGAUUUGGGUUAUCGGUUUGCGAUUCAGGACUGAGACAGUCCCACCAUUGUCAAUUUCAAGCUACCAGUGACGUCACUGAAUGCAGAGUAGGGAAGGGACGUGUGCUGUCGGCUUUCAGGAGCUGGCACAAGCUGGCUGCGGCACACCACUGCCCAUUCCAGAGACGUGCUUCUUUUUCGAGAAGGGAUCCUGAAAUUAUUCCACCUCUGAACAUUGAGAUACACCUUUCAGCCAUUGUCUCUACACAUUUUCUUCUAAAAUUUAUAUUAACUCCCAAGAGCAUAGUUUCUAUACAGCAGUUUUUCAUAACUUCUGACCUUGGUAGGAGUGGACAGAUGGCAACACCAGGCAUUUAGAGCGUUGUCUGUUCCCAGUGGGGCUCGUGGAGAACUGGAAGUGAGUGAGCUGAAAUUGGCUGAAGGCUCUUGUGCAUGAUUUCCUGUGCAUGAUUUCCUUUGCCGUGGUUUGAGUUAUUCUGUUUUCUGUGUUACUCUUUCACUUCAGAGAAAACUGCCGGCUGACUUCAAGGUUCUGGAAGCCUCAGAUCUGGUGUAUACAGUCAGCGCCCAGGAGUACUGGCAGCAGGCUCUCCUCACUGAAGAGGAAACUGAAAUCCCUAAGUUAAGAGAAUACAUCAGGAAAAGGCUCUUGGACAAGAAGAGGAGGACAGUGACCAAGUAUGUGACCGAAGCCUUUGGCCUGUUGCUCCUCACGGAUAGUUUCAACUCCACGCAGAAGCUGCCGAAUGAACACUUGCAUGUGAGUGACCUGCGGAGAUUCACAGAAGAGAAGGUUGAGCUGCUGGAAAAGGCCAUCGCACAGUGCUUUGCCUGCAUGGAGCAGCCUCUGAAAGAAGGGGUCAGAACCGCCAGGACCUCCUACCGCUGCAUUCUCAGGGCGUGCCUGGUGGUGAGU